UGAUCUACAUUCACUGACUUUCUCUUCACUCUUUACUGUCUGAACUUAAAAACUUGAAUACUAAACAAGAUUUUGUCCUUAAUUUAACCAUUUUAACUCAUGGAAAUUUCAUAUUCUCUUUAUCCACACAAUGUCAAAUCAUGGUUUCAAGCAUGCUGGCAGCUAUAGCUCUAUUACCAGAGAGCCCUAACUUCAUUCCUAGUCUUAACACAUCUUGACCUUACUUGCCCUUAUUCCACUUAUCUCAACUAAUAAGCAAACUGGUUAAAAAUAGAAAACACUAAAAAAUUGUGAAUCCAUACUUCAAACUUUCAUGGUGGAAAGAAAACUGAACUAUCCAAGUCAGAAUUAUUGACUAAGAAAACUGAAGUGGAAAAGUAUUUUAAACCAAAUAUUUGAAAUGUAUUUUCUCUAUAAAUAGUCAAACCCAACUAAGUUUAAUUUUUGACCUUCAAUUUUUAUUGAAAAGCUUUUCUCAUAGGCAGUCUCAAAUCAGUAUUGAAAAGAGAUUUAGGCUCAGACUUGCCAGAUAUAUCUUCCCUCCAACACUUUUUAUUUUAGUUUCCCUUUCAGCUGAAAUCCACAAAAUCAUAUUGCCUUACUUUAUAGCUAGACAGUAGUUAUAUGGAGACAACUUCAAAUGCACACACUGUAGUUUAUUAUAAAUAUUGUAGACUAAAAAAUAUUGAAAAUUCAAGAUAAUAUUAAUUUUUCCAUGUUGUAGGCUGUCUUUACUCACAAAUCUAGAGGGACUAUUUAAUAAUUUGUAUGUCUUCUCAGUCAUAUCAGUUUAAUUCUAUCAAGUAAUUUGUUGUUUCAACUCAACAUGUGACCCAAAUAGAACAGUUUUUGAUCAUCUGUAUUCAAUGAACAUCCUGCCUUUUCAAAUUUAGCCUAUCCUUCAAAAUAGUCAUUUUUAGGGUACUUGUAGAAAAUGAACAGUCUUGCCUUUAAAGUAAAAUAGAUAUUGUGGAAAAUUAGGAAAAAGUAUAACCAGCGAGGUUAGAAAAAGAACACCUUUAGAAUGUGUGAGAGAAAUCCAUACACUGUGUGCAAAAUUAACAAUCCAAGGGCAUUCUCAGAAGCAAACACAUGAUGGGCUAUUAUUGGAUGUUGAGCUAUUGAAUAUUGUAGAAGUGUCACAUACUUGUCACUGUGUGGUGGAAAUAUGGAAAUCAGAGGUUGAAGGUCAACAAACAGUUUAAUAAAUGGAUACUGUGAGGUGGUUAAUAACUAAAGAAGAGGAAGUUUGACUUUAGAAAUAAAUUGGGGUAUGGCUAGUAGCACCCAUGUAGUGGAGAAAAGUAAGCUAUCAGAUCCAAACAUGCAAAAAACAUAUUUUUAAUCUUCCCCCAAGAAUAUGUGGUUAUAUCUCCAGUAAAUGUGGUAUUGUUUAAAUUUUUACUGAGAAAUAAAUAUAUAUAUUAAGGAAGCAAUUUUCUGAUUUGUUAUUUGUAUAUUGAGGGGACCUGCUCCUUAAGAUGGAUGAGCCUUUUAUGAAUGACAGCUUCAAAAACUGAGGAAUCUUCUUUAUAGGCCUAGUUAUUCACUCCUGAUCAUUUUUAUACAAAAAUACUUCUAAUUAUUUUUCAGAUGAGGAUAAGAUUCUUGUUGAAAAUAUACUGCAAAGCCAUUUUUACUGCUAUUUCCAGAUGAUUGACCAAGUAUACCUAUUUACUUUUCUUCUUUUCCAAAGAUUCACUUAAAAAUAAUAAAAGACACAUCCAGAAGAAAAUCACGUCUUCCAAAGCACUGGAUAACUGGAACCGUUUUCAGCAGUAUCAGGGGAGAAGAAACAUUGAGAAAUAUGUGCAAGGUAAAGAGUAAGUUUGAACGAAAAUACUGCAGCCCCAUACCUGUGAAAGAGGAAGACUACUAAAAAGCAGGAGAAAAGACCAGGAUCAUAGGAAAACAGGUUUUGGAAACAAAGUGGGCCCCCAAAGCCACUGUAGGGUAGUUUAUUGAAAUACUAAAUAACAGUUGGACUUAUUGUCAAAACAACGGAAACUAGUAAUUGCUCUCAGGCUAAAGGCAGAAGAAAACCUUUCUUAAUCGCACACAUCUUCUAUACAGGAAAAAGUGGAGUGAAAAGGCUGGCAUCUUCCCAAGGAGAGGGAGUCUGGUACACAGAAUGCAAACUUUUGAGGAAUUUCCAAGUACCUCUGACAAGUCCCCUUAUAAUUCAGGAAAAGUGACUGCCAAUGUUCUAAUAAUUGCAAUUUAUUUUUCAAAAUGAAUAAAUUUAGUUCCUUAUUUAUAAAUAUGGGCAGUAACCAAGCAUCAUGAAGCAUUAGAAGAAUAUCAUUAACAUGAAAAAGAUGUAUAAUAUUGACCUAAUAGAAGAAAAAUAAGCCCUAAGGAAACGUUAGUAUAUAAAUCAUAAAAUAAAACAAUGAAAUUGGUAUUCUCAGAAAUCUUUUUAAUAAAGAGCUCUUGAAAAUUAACAAGAGUUAUUAACGUUACUGGUAGAAAAUCCAAAUGAGCAGAAUGUUCUAUGUAAGCCUGAGAUAUAUAUUCUAGGUAGAAUGUUCUAUAAAUGUCAAUCAGAUCAAGUUCAUUGAUAAUGCUAUUCAAGUCACCUACGUCCAGAUUUUCUUCCUGCUUGAUCUAUUCUUUACUGGAACAGGUUGUUGAGGUCUUUGUGAGUUUGACUGUAUUUCAGCUCCAUCAGUUUUGCCAACGGUAUUUGGACAAUGUUGUUAGAUACACACACAUUAGGUCUGCUAUGUUCUUAGAUAAUUAACCCCUUUAUUAUUGCAUAAUGUCCUUUUUUUAUCCAUGAUAAGCUUCCUUGAUAUAAGCCUACUUUGUCUAAAAUUAAUGUAGCUACGCUUUCUUUUGAUUAUUGUCAUCAUGGUAUAAAUUUCUUCAUCUUUUUACUUUUAACCUGAGUAUAUUUAAAGUAGGUUAUAAGCUGGAUCUUAUUUUCAUCCACUCUGAUAAUUUAUCUUUUAAUUGGUUUACUGGGACCAUUCCUAGUUAAAGUAACUAUUGAUAAUAGCUUAAAUACUACUUCUUGUGCCUGUAACAGUUUUCUGAUUCACUAUAUUUAUUUUUUGUCUCUUUAUCCCACCUCUUCAUCUUUCUCCUCUAAUUUUAAAUGACUUGAUUUUAUUUCCUUUCCUAACAUAUUAAUUCUAAUUUUUUUAGAGGUUAUCCUAUAUUGUAACUAUAAGUUCUUUUAAAAGGCUGUUAUAUUUUAAAUUUAUUGAUAGGAAAAAUGAAAACUUUUUAGUUUACCUUCAUUUAUUCCCUCACUGAUGUUCUUUCUUUCUUUAUAUUGUCCUGAGUUCUUUACCUAUAUUAUUUUACCACAUGUAAAGAUUUAUUUUAAUGAUGAUUGUAAGGCAAGUCUCCUGACAAUGAAUUCUUCAGUUUUUGUUUUUCUCUUUCACUUUUGAAGGAUAAUUUUGCUGGAUAUAUCAUUCUAGGUUAUUGGCAUUAUUUCUCAACAUUUUUUAACUCUGCCACUCCACUCUGUUCUUGUGUAAAUGGUUUCUGAUGAAAAAAUAUAUCUAACUCAUCUUUUUUCCUCUACAGUUUUCCCACUUUGGCUUAUUUAAAGAUUUUCUCUUGUCUUGGUUUUCUGUAGUUUGAAUAUGAUAGGUCUAAAUGGGUGUUUGUGUCUGUAUGUGUUGUGUUUUGUUACUUAUUUGCUUGGUGUUUUCUGAUACAUCUGGAUCUAUAGUUUAGUGUCUGCCAUCAAUUUGGGGAAGUUCUUAAGCAAUACAAUUUCAAAUGUUUUUUGGCUUCAUGUUCUCUUUCUUCUCCUUCUGAUAUUUGUUACACAUUUGUUAUACCUUUUAAUAUUGUCCUCAACUAUUGGAUAUGAUAUGAUAUAUUUUUAUUAAAUUACUUUUUAUCUUUGAUUUCAGUUUGGGAGUUUUCUAUUUACCUACCCUCAAGUUCAUAGAUUUUUGUCUUUGCUGUGUUGAGUCUACUGAUGGAUUGAUUUAAGUCAUUCUUUAGCUGUGUUAGUGUUUUUAAUAUCUAGCCAUUUGCUUGGAUUUUUUUCAGAGUUUCCAUUCUCUCUGUUUACUUUGCCCAUUCUUACAUUUGUUUACAUCACUUAACGUGUUAGUUAUGGUUAUUUUAAAUUCUCUGCCUGAUAAUUGUAACAUCAGUAUGAUACCUAAAUCUAGUUCUGAUGGAAUCUUUGUCCUUUCAGAGUGAACUUUUUCUUGUUUUUAAUGUAUUGGGUAAUUUUUGGUUGAAAAGCUGGGCAUAUUGUAUCAGGUAAUAGGAAUGGAAUUAAACAGCCCUUUAGUGUGAGGAGUUACAUUAACUUUACUGGGAGUUAGACCUUUUUUUUUUUUUUUUUUCAGCUAUAGGUACCAGAGGCUUCAAGUUAUAGUGUCUUCAUUUUGUCUCCCUUAUUAUCUCUGGGAUUACCUAAGAACUGCUUCCAAAAUGGACUCUGUGUCUUGAAGCUCUUUAAACUGUAAUCCACUGCUAUGAUGCUGGAGGUCUGUUAGUGUGGUAAUGUGGUGCUUUCUAUGAUCUUCCAAUUAAACUCUAGUCUUUCUAGUAGGCUUGUGUCUAAGUGAUGGGACCAUCACAAGGGUUUCUCUACUAAUACAUAACAUUUCCCCUCUCCCCCUAAUCCCUUCCUUGGCUACAGAAUUACACAGCAAUUUCCAUGAAGUACUAUCCCUUAUUGGCCAUUUCUCCCCACCUGGAGAUAGGAGAUAGGAAAGCCAGAGGGUGCUGGAGUAGGGAGGGAUUUCCUUUCUUCAACUGGGAUAAGGUGUCAGAACUGAGUUUUGCCAGUGUCUUUUUACAUAGAGAAUAGGCCUUUGUUACUUUGAAGAAGACUCUGGUUACUCUUCUCUUUGUUCUGCCAGAAUCCUGAGGGGCUUUUUCUCAGAUCUUCACAGAAUGAACCUGGUAGGGCUCGUAGAAGAAAAAUUCAUGAAAGUGUACAAACCCUCUUAAGACUUCAGCUCCUAAGAGUGUCUCACUCACACUAGUUCACACUCAGUCUCUAGGAUUUCACCAAAAUUAUCAUUUACAUGUUCCAACCAUGUUCCCCAAUAAAUUCUGAUCCAGAUAAGUAAAUCUUGGUGGCUUCCUCUUUCUUUCCAUCUCCAUCUCUCUGCAUGCAUUUAUUUCUCUAGAUUUCAUGCUGUCCUGUGACCUCAGUUCUCACAUGGGUCUUGAUUUUCAGUCUGCCUGCAUUUUUCUUGUUGUAAAAUUAAGAGUAACACCUCUUGAAGUUCCCUGGUAGCUGAGUGGCUGAGCAGGUUAAGGAUCCUGCAUUGUCACUGCAGC
This 5271-nucleotide long non-coding RNA is filed under the name Sus scrofa (pig). RNAcentral describes it as "lncRNA (ENSSSCG00000053710.1)". Lineage: Eukaryota; Metazoa; Chordata; Mammalia; Artiodactyla; Suidae. The record is from RNAcentral.